UGAGGGAGUUUUGACCACAAAACCCAAACUUAGUUUAAAGUACCCACUACAUAACUUCGCUAUGAAUUUAUCUCUUUUCACUAGUCCGACAUUUUGGAAAUAAAACAGACGCGAGUGCUGGUGAAAUUUAUGCUGCAAUUCCGGAACAAAAAUAAGAAUACUGCGCACUCCAUCGGAUGGUUUUGUUUUUAUCGGUUGAAGCUUGAGAUCGCAAAACGUCCUACUGGAGGUGCUUGAUCCGCAGUCGGUACAGCGCAGUAACGCGGUUAAAGUACGGUUAGGUGUGGCCUUUAAUGAAGGGACAAUCGAUUGGUGCCUGGCAUCAACUUUAUCGGAAUCGUCCCAUCCGGAUCCAUCCAGUUCCAACCCGUCCAAACAUAACCUCAAACUACUGAGCAGCAGCCACCAGCCGGCGAAAGAGUUGGUAGAACAACGCACUGCCUGGAAGAUUUAAUGAAGGCACACAGGAUUGUGUCGAGUUAUCAAUCGGUUCAAUUUUGAACGGUGGGCCAGGCGUUUGCGUUGGACAUGGAAACGGUACAGAUACAAGGCCUCGACAUUUUAAAGAUAUCCAUUUUUUGACACCUAAAGCAGUAGUUGUGUGUAAGCAUAUGUAGAGGCAGAGUCAGGAUUGUUAUUAUCGGCUUGAUUCCCAUUCAUACUUAAAUACUCCGAGAGAGACAGUUGGUGCAAUAUAAAAUUAAUAUUAAUUUUACUGGAAUUGAAAUGUAGGAAAUUCAGAUGAUUAUAUUUAGUAGUAUAGUUGAUUUAUACAUGUAUUUCAAGAAUAUCUGUGUGCACAGCUAAAACUUAAGACACAUUGCAAUGACACACAAAAACCAAAGCAUUAGAUAAUUUGAAUAGCUUUUAAAUUCAUACAUUAUGUUAACAAAAUUCAUACAUAAUGUUAAAAAACCUGAAUUGUUAUUGAUUAAAAAUUUACAUUUAACAUUCAAAUGAGUUUUUUCAGCGGAAGUGUUAGAUAACUUUGCAAAAACUAACAGCGAUCAUGUUGUUAUUCUCGACUCAAAAUUGAAAAAUGGGAAAAUUUUUAAAAAUAAUUGUUAAUAUUUUAAAAAAUAUGUAUAAAAAUGUUUUUCGAUGAAAUAAUAUAUCAAAAGAAGGCUAGUUUAAAACAGAAAACAAAAAUACUCUGAAAAGUAAUGAGUGAUGAAAAAAAAAGAAAUCAUUACAAAUAUAAUGAAUUGAAAGUGCAUAUGCUAAAUAUCGCUAUUAUAAAAACUUUUGUAAUACAUGUGGAAAAAAUGCGUGAAAAUACGAAGUGUUAUUAGAAAAAAAAAUUGCGAAUAAAUUCCUAUUAAAUCAUGAUUUUUUCCAAUUAUUCAUUCUUAAUUUAUAACCCUAUUUGGCAGCUCAAGAAUGAU
Long non-coding RNA from Uranotaenia lowii, 1385 nucleotides. RefSeq lists it as uncharacterized. Lineage: Eukaryota; Metazoa; Arthropoda; Insecta; Diptera; Culicidae. The record is from RefSeq and is a predicted model, not a curated record. The transcript is spliced from 3 exons.